RNAcentral lists this small RNA (94 nucleotides) under Spisula solidissima (Atlantic surf clam). The record is from RNAcentral. Lineage: Eukaryota; Metazoa; Mollusca; Bivalvia; Venerida; Mactridae.
UUGACUUGGUAACCUAAGUCUUGACCCUAGUCCCUAGAUGAAACAUAUAUGCAACUUGACAAAGAUUUCAUUGAGACAAACAUUAUGACCCCAC